AGUGAACGCUGGCGGUAGGCCUAACACAUGCAAGUCGAACGGCAGCACAGUAAGAGCUUGCCCUUACGGGUGGCGAGUGGCGGACGGGUGAGGAAUACAUCGGAAUCUACUUUUUCGUGGGGGAUAACGUAGGGAAACUUACGCUAAUACCGCAUACGACCUACGGGUGAAAGCAGGGGAUCUUCGGACCUUGCGCGAUUGAAUGAGCCGAUGUCGGAUUAGCUAGUUGGCGGGGUAAAGGCCCACCAAGGCGACGAUCCGUAGCUGGUCUGAGAGGAUGAUCAGCCACACUGGAACUGAGACACGGUCCAGACUCCUACGGGAGGCAGCAGUGGGGAAUAUUGGACAAUGGGCGCAAGCCUGAUCCAGCCAUACCGCGUGGGUGAAGAAGGCCUUCGGGUUGUAAAGCCCUUUUGUUGGGAAAGAAAAGCAGCGGGUUAAUACCCCGCUGCUCUGACGGUACCCAAAGAAUAAGCACCGGCUAACUUCGUG
This 492-nucleotide ribosomal RNA is filed under the name uncultured bacterium. Its description in RNAcentral is "partial 16S ribosomal RNA". It matches the Rfam family "Bacterial small subunit ribosomal RNA", at positions 29 to 507 of the family's 1533-position model. The record is from RNAcentral.